Molecule: ribosomal RNA, 457 nt
Filed under: uncultured bacterium
Lineage: Bacteria
Description: partial 16S ribosomal RNA
Rfam family: Bacterial small subunit ribosomal RNA
Source: RNAcentral
CCUACGGGAGGCAGCAGUGGGGAAUAUUGCACAAUGGGGGAAACCCUGAUGCAGCGACGCCGCGUGAGUGAAGAAGUAUUUCGGUAUGUAAAGCUCUAUCAGCAGGGAAGAAACCCACCCUCCGGGGUGGCUGACGGUACCUGACUAAGAAGCCCCGGCUAACUACGUGCCAGCAGCCGCGGUAAUACGUAGGGGGCACGCGUUAUCCGGAUUUACUGGGGGUAAAGGGAGCGUAGGUGGCAGGGCAAGUCAGCUGUGAAAACCCGGGGCCCAACCCCGGGAGUGCAUUUGAAACUGGCUGUCUAGAGUUCAGGAGAGGUAGGUGGAAUUCCUAGUGUAGCGGUGAAAUGCAUAGAUAUUAGGAGGAACACCAGUGGCGAAGGCGGCUUACUGGACUGUAACUGACACUGAGGCUCGAAAGCGUGGGGAGCAAACAGGAUUAGAUACCCCGGUAGUC